AAGUGUCAAGCGGCAGACCAUUGCUUACACGAAUACAUUAGCAUGGNCUAAUGGANAUAUGGACCUGUCCUCCUAUUUUCAGUUGGUUUUGGCACGCGCGAGGACUAGAGGUAACUGAUUAAUAGGGAUACGUUGGGCGGCAUUAAUAUUUAAUUGUCAGAGGUGAAAUUCUUGGAUUUAUGAAAGAUUAACUUCUGCGAAAGCAUCUGCCANGGAUGUUUAACAUUAAUCAAGAACGAAAGUUAGGGGAUCGAAGACAGAUCAGAUACCGUCGUAGUCUUAACCAUAAACGAUUCCGACCAGNGAUUAGGAGACGUUGAAUACAAAACACCACCAUCGGACGCGGUCGUCCUAUGGCGUGUCGUCGUGCUACACCGGGUGGGGAAGCAGCGAGGGCAGGCUAACGCCAGGUGGAAAGG
RNAcentral lists this ribosomal RNA (419 nucleotides) under Acanthamoeba sp. T11/T4. Its description in RNAcentral is "bacterial SSU rRNA". It matches the Rfam family "Eukaryotic small subunit ribosomal RNA", at positions 769 to 1074 of the family's 1831-position model. Lineage: Eukaryota; Discosea; Longamoebia; Acanthamoebidae. The record is from RNAcentral.